Molecule: ribosomal RNA, 373 nt
Filed under: Pseudomonas migulae
Lineage: Bacteria; Pseudomonadati; Pseudomonadota; Gammaproteobacteria; Pseudomonadales; Pseudomonadaceae
Description: bacterial SSU rRNA
Rfam family: Bacterial small subunit ribosomal RNA
Source: RNAcentral
UAAUACCGCAUACGUCCUACGGGAGAAAGCAGGGGACCUUCGGGCCUUGCGCUAUCAGAUGAGCCUAGGUCGGAUUAGCUAGUUGGUGAGGUAAUGGCUCACCAAGGCGACGAUCCGUAACUGGUCUGAGAGGAUGAUCAGUCACACUGGAACUGAGACACGGUCCAGACUCCUACGGGAGGCAGCAGUGGGGAAUAUUGGACAAUGGGCGAAAGCCUGAUCCAGCCAUGCCGCGUGUGUGAAGAAGGUCUUCGGAUUGUAAAGCACUUUAAGUUGGGAGGAAGGGCAGUAAAUUAAUACUUUGCUGUUUUGACGUUACCGACAGAAUAAGCACCGGCUAACUCUGUGCCAGCAGCCGCGGUAAUACAGAGGG